CAUAGCUUCGUAGGUGACCUGCGGAAGGAUCAUUACCUAGAGUUUGUAGACUUCGGUCUGCUACCUCUUACCCAUGUCUUUUGAGUACCUUCGUUUCCUCGGCGGGUCCGCCCGCCGAUUGGACAACAUUCAAACCCUUUGCAGUUGCAAUCAGCGUCUGAAAAAACAUAAUAGUUACAACUUUCAACAACGGAUCUCUUGGUUCUGGCAUCGAUGAAGAACGCAGCGAAAUGCGAUAAGUAGUGUGAAUUGCAGAAUUCAGUGAAUCAUCGAAUCUUUGAACGCACAUUGCGCCCCUUGGUAUUCCAUGGGGCAUGCCUGUUCGAGCGUCAUUUGUACCUUCAAGCUCUGCUUGGUGUUGGGUGUUUGUCUCGCCUCUGCGUGUAGACUCGCCUUAAAACAAUUGGCAGCCGGCGUAUUGAUUUCGGAGCGCAGUACAUCUCGCGCUUUGCACUCAUAACGACGACGUCCAAAAGUACAUUUUUACACUCUUGACCUCGGAUCAGGUAGGGAUACCCGCUGAACUUAAGCAUAUCAAAAGGCGGGAGGAA
This 551-nucleotide ribosomal RNA is filed under the name Epicoccum nigrum. RNAcentral describes it as "eukaryotic LSU rRNA". The stretch from base 179 to 332 matches the Rfam family "5.8S ribosomal RNA". Lineage: Eukaryota; Fungi; Ascomycota; Dothideomycetes; Pleosporales; Didymellaceae. The record is from RNAcentral.